GCGCGCCACCACCGCUCCCGUCGCUGCCGCGCUGCGCUACCACCGCCAUCGGCAUCGCCGUUCCUCGCCGCACCCCGGCCCCUACUCCGUUUCCCCUCCCUGCCCCUGGAACGCCGCCGCCGCGUUCACCAUCUCUCUCCGCCGCCACCGCCGACUCCAGCCGCGUCGCGCCGCCGCUUCGGUCGACGUCGACUCGCGCCGUUGCCUCCCUCAGCUCCGCAAGGACGAGGAGGACCUCGGCCGCCGCCCCUCUUCGCCGGAAAUCCGCCGGAGCUCCUCCUUCCUCGGUCGCCGGUCAAGGGCGACCCCGUCCGCCCUCCGUCCUCGCAAGCCGCCAUUGGGCAAUCGUCGUCGCCGUCCUCUUCCUCCGCGUCGGCCGCCGCUUCCGCGUGUAGAAUCCGUUGUUUCGGAAGUCCGCGGUCGCGAGGAAAAGAGUUCGGAA
Molecule: long non-coding RNA, 442 nt
Organism: Oryza sativa Japonica Group (Japanese rice)
Lineage: Eukaryota; Viridiplantae; Streptophyta; Magnoliopsida; Poales; Poaceae
Source: RefSeq, a predicted model, not a curated record